Molecule: long non-coding RNA, 1327 nt
Filed under: Calidris pugnax (ruff)
Lineage: Eukaryota; Metazoa; Chordata; Aves; Charadriiformes; Scolopacidae
Description: lncRNA (ENSCPUG00000006384.1)
Source: RNAcentral
UAUAGACUGCCUUGGCUGCCAAACUUCAAAUGAAGGCAUCUGAAAAUCUAGUUCCUUCAUAUCAUAUACUACUGAAGUGUCACUUACCUCUCCUGCUUUAUGAUGGUGACAAUUACGAGAGUUAUGUCAUAUUCGGAUUCUCCAUGAGGUGCAGUCAAGUUCUGUGAAAAAGAUACAAAAAUGCCUGAAAGAGUUAAUUGGUGUGGAUGCUGAGCUUCGUCUGCACCACCCAGAGUUCUUCCAGAAGCUCUUCUGCUUGACACAGCAGCACCUGACAGUCCUGCAGAGCACAGGCCAAGGGCAACCCACCACUGAGAAUGACAACGGAAAGCCAUCAGGGAUGUCACUCCUCAAAGGACAACUCCUGUUGCUCCUCACAAGUCCUGAGAUGUCAGACAAGGGUUCCUCAGCACCAAGCCUUGCCUCCUCUGGAGCCACGCGAGCCCUUUGGGGUGUGAUUUCUGGGUCUCUGUUUCUUCAUAACCAGGUGACGGCGGUGCAGAAACGGGGUCUCUGCUUGCCAUGUUGGUGGGAGCUGUGGUGGAUCUCCAGCAGAGAAACCCCAGUGGAGGAAAGCAGCUCCUCAACAGCCAUCUGUCACCUAGCCAUGUGUGCACACUGCUUCAUGAGGAAGGCACAGCCACGGGCAGAUACUCGCUCAGCUUCUCCACCAUCUUCUGAAAGAAAGGGAACAGCACACAUGUGAAAACGGCCUGGAAAAAAAUGGUGUGGCUUCUGGAUGAGGAUUUAACAGAAGGCAAACUGGAGUAGUUAUGGAAAUGGGAAAAUGUUUAUAGGGUGGUCUGAAAUGAGGCCCUCAAAAAUGAUAGAAGAGACCUGCAGAUGUUUAUAUCACCAUAUGCUCGACCUCAUGAGUUCUGACAUUGUUUCUUGAUUACAUGUUCCCAUCCUGUCCCUCUACAAAACCUGUGACUGAGUGCAGCUGGGGCUGCCCUUGGGGGGGACGUGGAGGUGGAAGGUGACACGGCCACCUCCCCUCACCCCAAGAGCCAGGAAGAGGCAUGAGGAGCACGGCAGGGAUCUGCUGGAGGAGGGAACCAUCCAGGAAUCACACGGGAGAAUCACAGAAUCAUAGGAUUGUCUCAGUUGGAAGGGACCUUUCAGAUCAUGGAGUCCAACCAUCAACCCAACACUGACCAAACCACCCAUCGUCUGCCUGGAUUUUAAAUACCUCCAGGGUGCUGGGGGGCUCUCCCCACCCUGAGCUGGGGACGACAAAGGCAACUGGGAGGAAACCUUCUGCUCCUCCUGCUGGGACAGCCCGGUGCUGGGACAAAGCUGCCACCCAUUUCACUGGAAACACACA